UGCAGUAUUUGGUUUUCUGUUCCUGCGUUAGUUUGCUAAGGAUAAUGGCCAUUAUCUUAGCCAUUUGAAAAUAAUGAUUUAACCUCUCUCACCUUCAUUGUCAUUUUAGAAGAAACUACCAUUUGGUGUCCUGCUGAGACAAGAAAAUAUUUUCACAACUCAAGACAAGUUAAAUAUCCACUUAUGGGAACAGUGCUGAAGGCCUGGACUAGGAUGGUAGCAAUGGAGACAGACUAAAGAAAGAGAUGCAAUCAUUCCCUUGCAUAUGGUCCGUAUGAAGACGGGAUCAUUACAGGAAAGGUGAAGGAGAUACAGUCAUUAUGCUCUAUAUACACCCAUUUUUAUGGCUAGCGGCUGAAGAUGGGAUGCUUUCUUUGCUGGAAGACCUAUUACCUGUUAGGUUGCAAAAGAUGUGAUCAUCUUCCUAAACAAUAAUUUAGAGUCCCAUAACAAUUUUAAGUGUGCUGUUCAUGAAAAUUUGAAUACAUUGUAUUGGGAAUAUAAUGGAAGUGAGAUGCCUCAUGUCGUGAGAAAAUCUGACAUAAACUCCUUAAGCAUGAGAGGCCAUGUGGGUAUGGAAGCCCUGAAAGGGAGGAAAAAACAGCCAGACCCUAGCUGUUCCAGUCAUCCCAACUGAGGUGCCAGACUUGUGAUUGAGGCCAUCUUGCAUCAUCUAGGCCUAGUAGAGCUGCCAACUGACUGCAGACACAUGAGUCAAUCCAGCUAAUGCCACAUGGAGCAGAGACAAGCCGCCCAGCUGAGCCCAGUCCAGAUGACAGAAUCAUGAGCAAAUAAGAACAGAGAGAUCCAUAGUGGAUUACAAUAAGUG
This 829-nucleotide long non-coding RNA is filed under the name Homo sapiens (human). RNAcentral's name for it is "non-protein coding LINC01370:4". The record is from RNAcentral. Lineage: Eukaryota; Metazoa; Chordata; Mammalia; Primates; Hominidae.